Molecule: long non-coding RNA, 34793 nt
Filed under: Homo sapiens (human)
Lineage: Eukaryota; Metazoa; Chordata; Mammalia; Primates; Hominidae
Description: non-protein coding lnc-DLX2-4:12
Source: RNAcentral
GAGAGCUGGCCGGCGCCGACCCGGCCUGGGGCAGCGGCCGCAGCUCCCCGCCCGGGACCGCGCAAAAAGGCCCAAGGUCCCGGGCCGCACUCACCGAAGUCCAGGAACUGCUUCAUGGAGAGCGGGGACGGCGAGAAGCGCGCGUAGAAGUCCACCUGGCCCGGAACGCCGCGCUCGGACGCCGGGCUGGAGCCCGAGUCCGAGCUGAAGCUGCGGCUGAAGCCGGCGGCGCGCAGCCCCGGGCCCGGGCCGGCCAAGGCGGCUCCGCGAAGCAGCCGCGCCAGCCUCAUGCCGAGUCCCGCUAGAGAAGCCACAGCCAGUACGCCAGGUUUCCCCGCGCCUCUGCCGAGUGGGUUGAAGGCAAAUACUUGAAGUUGCAAUCGAAGGUCAAGAAAAUGGAAUCAAGAGGUCACAAUCCUUCUCUGAUGAUGGCUUAGAAAGCUGGAAGACACUCAACAUUGAAUCCUGGGGCUCUGUGCCAUGCUUGCUAGGAGAAACAGCCACCAUGAGUCCAUCUUUCAGAUCUCAAGUGAACAGGUAUGCAAGUCAUAGAAUUAAAUUUAUUUCAGCCGUGUGCGGUGGCUCACUCUUGUAAUCCCAGCACUUUGGGAGGCUGAAGCAGGCAGAUCACUUGAGGUCAGGAGUUUCAGACCAGUUUGGCCAACAUGCUGAAACCCCCAUCUCUACUAAAAAUAUAAAGGUAGCUGUGCAUGGUGGUGGGUGCCUGUAAUUGCAGCUACUUGCUACUUGGGAGGCUGAGGUGAGAGAAUCACUUGAACUCAGGAGGUGGAGGUUGCAGUGAGCCAAGAUUGCACCACUACACUCCAGCCUGGGCUAUGGAGUGAGACCCUGUCUCUAAAUAAAUAAAUAAAAAUAAAAAAUUCAUAUGUACAACCCUAGCUGCAAGGGAGUCUGGGAAGGUAUUUUUAGCACCUCAGCCCUUCCAACUAGAAAAAGUAUGGAAUAGAGCAAGCCAGUCCACAGAUAUGUAUCACAGUGGCUUAGGAGUUUUAUUAAUUUAUGUGUGUGUGUUUUCUGGCAUGAGUACUUGGGUUGUUCGUGGUAGGCACAGGCAAAGAAACACUGAGUUGCUGCUUGAGAAAGGAAAUGUCAAGUUGCAAAAGCUUCUCUUUAAGUCAUCCUGAACCUGUUCAAUGUGUUUGUUUCAUUACUGAUUUAGAUAAGUCUUUAUAACCAGAUCAACAUGUCACUGCUUCUGUGGGUCAGCUACUAGAACUGGCACAUUGUUUCCCAUUCCGUUGUAAUGCUAUUCACUGUCAUGGGAUUUUCCUUCUCACGGGGCAGGAAUCUUAAAAGCAUGGCCUGUAAGAGUAGCCUACAACAAAUGUCAGCUAUCCUGUCAAGACGGUGAAAGCUAUAUAUUUAGAUAAACAGACUUAACUGCACCCCAGUCAGUCCUUAUCCACACAUUUGAGGAUGUUAGGGGUUUGGAAGUUGUGUAGAAAGACAUAAGACAGUGUAAGCCUAGGUUAUAAUCUUAUUCCUUAUACCAUUAUACCUUAUGCCAUUUUACAGGUGAAGGAAUUAAGGCAUCAGGCAUUUAAACUUGCCCAGGUCAUACAGUAAAAAGUGACACAAUAGGGACUUGAAUAAAGACUGGCUCUAGAGACCCUUGACACCCAAAGAGUAAUCCAUAGAUCAGUAGUAUUGCAACACCUGGAGGUUGUUAGAAAUGUAGACUCUCAGGCUGUUUCCUAGACUGUUUAAAUCAGAACCUGAAUCAACAAGAUCCUCAGGUGAGUCUUAGGCAUGUUAAAUUUUGAGAAAGACUGCUCUUAACUUCUCUAAUUGAGACUUCCUGACCACCAGUGGCUUCCUCAGGUAAGAACCCCAGAACUUCAGUUCCAUCAGCAAUUUGAGGACACCUUGGCAUCAGGCAGUCCCCCAAUCUUCCUAUGGAAGAAUGCAUGUAUAUGUAUGUUUUUUGCCUUUACAUAGUCUUUCAGUCCAUGCAUUAUUGUGACAUGUGGGAGGCAGGAGUUUUCAAAUUUGUUCUUCCAGUGACAAACUCCGUUCUAACACACAUGGUGUAACUCAGGUGCAAGAUGAGCUCUGUGAGCAUUUCCUCUUCUGCACAGCAGUAAAGGUAAUAAGCAGUAAAACUGUGGCUUGCCUUCCCACUAAAGGAAACCAAAGAAAUCGAUGGUGUGUAAAGAACUCUGAGAAAAGGUUCAAAAAGAGAAUCUGCUCUUUUCACACUCUUCCAUGUCAGCGGGGAGAAAAACACAAAGAUUCAAUACCUAGCGAUUUCAAGAUGCUUUGUUGAUUAUCUUAACAUGUCAUCUUUCUGACCCCAACCGAAGACUGCAUUAUGGUCACUGUAUUAAGGGUUGAGACAGAAUUUAACAUAGAAAUAAGGUCACUCUUGUCGUUGUUCAGAAUGAUCUAUGUUGAUAAGGACUUUAAGAGGUUCAUCGUAUUUUUUUUUUGUAGUUAUAACACCCACUAGUAAGACUUAAGUUGGUAGACACUGAAGAAUGAGGAGACAAAAGGUUCCCGUGACAAUAAAAAUAAACCGUGUCUCCCCAUCUGUGAAACGAGGAAGUAGAACUAGAUUUCCAUGCUUCCUUCCCUUUUUAAGAUUUAUGGUUCUAUAUAAUAAACAAGGGUAAGUAUAAAAGUAACUAGUAAGCACUUCCAGAUGGUCCAAUUUUCUCUUUACAAGAACCUCUGGGCUGGGUAUGGUGGCUCACACCUGUAAUCCCAGCACUUUGGCAUGCCGAAGCAGGGGUGGAUCAUCUGAGGUCAGGAAUUCAACACCAGCCUGGCCAACAUGGCGAAACCCCGUCUCUACUAAAAAUACAAAAAAUUAGCCAUGCAUGGUGGCGGGCGCCUAUAAUCCCAGCUGCUUGGGAGGCUGAUACAGGAGAAUUGCUUGAACCCAGAAGGCAGAGGUUGCACUGAGCCAAGAUCGUGCCAUUGCACUCCAGCCUGGGCAGCAAGAGUAAAACUCCGUCUCGAUGGAGCCAGACUCCAUCUCAAAAAAAAAAAAAAAAAAAAAAAAAAAGAACCUCUGAGUGAGCACUUAUCUUACAGGCCAAGAAACUGGGCACAGAGAUAUCCGUAACUCACCCAAGGUUAUGUUCUAAGAGGAGAAGCUAAUUCACACCUGCAGCGUGGCUCCAGAGACAUGCCCUUAUGCACCGCUCAGCUGCCUCCCUGCCUAUAGCAAAUGCACCUCUAGCUUCUCAGCUCCUGUUACUGGUGCAGUGGAAGUACCACAAACAGGAACGAGGCAUUCCACACAGUGAGCAUAUUAUUUUGAUAAAUAUUCACAACAUCCAAUAAUCUCUAAAGUAGUUCUCAAUCCUGGCUGCACUUUACGAGUCAGCUGGGGAGCUUUAAGCAGCGCUAAUUUCUGGGUCUCACUCAGAUUCUCAUGUAGUCAGUGUGGCAGAUUGUCCAGCCAUCGGGAUUUUAAUAAAUGUAUUUCUUUGGUGAUUUAAAUGUGUAGACCUGCUUAAGAAUGACUCUAAAUUUUCUGGGAAUGGGGUUGUUCUGGGGGCAAGUUCUGCCCACAAAGGUUCAGGUAUUGACUUUAUUUUUUUUUUUGAGACAGAGUUUUGCUUUUGUUGCCCAGGCUGGACUGCAGUGGCGCAGUCUUGGCUCACUGCAACCUCUGCCUCCCAGUUCAAGCGAUUCUCCUGCCUCAGCGUCCCAAGUAGCUGGGAUUAUAGCCAUGUGCCACCACCACACCCGGCUCAUUUUUUGUAUUUAGUAGAAACGGGGUUUCACCAUGUCAGUCAGGCUAGUCUCGAACUCCUGACCUUAUGUGAUCUGCCUGCCUCGGCCUCCCAAAGUCCUGGGAUUACAGGCGUGAACCUCCACGCCUGGCCAGGUAUUGAAUUUAUGUGUCAAUCAUUGAUAUCUUAGGGUUUUAAAUUCUGCUACCUAUAAAAAGUGAAUUCACUUAUGCUUGUCAAUACCAUCUGUAGUUUCAGAUAAGCUUCCUAUAAAAGGUCAGAGCCAGUGUCUUACGUAUAUCCCCAGAGCCUAACAUCCCUAAACAUCUGUUUACUUCCAACUGGAAAAUAAUUAUUAAAUCACAUCCCUCUCACAAUGACAGGAUCUUAACAGAACACUCACUUAAAUCCACUUACUGAUUGUUGGUGAACUGAAAACUUAAAUUGCUAGGCUUUGAGAUAACAACGGUAGCACAUUCUGACACUGUAAUUUCUUGAGAUUUUUGGCACGUUUUAGAAGGCUGAAGAGUAAGAAAUUUAUCUGACCUCUCCUAGCAGGGAACUGUUUCCAUGACCCCAGCACAGGCAGCAUAACUGAGAGAUGCCUCCAGGGCAAGAGAAGAUUGAGGCACUUAUGCUUUGCUGACUGCUACAAAAAUUGCACUUGACCACUUGACUCCCUCAACUCUGGUGUAAUCAUCAACUAUUACCUGGUUAGUUUUGCCCUUUGUGGUGCCUGGUCCACCCUUGCACUGGGCCACACCAGUUUCCUUCCUCUGGUUUGUGUUUUACAGUUCAUUUACCCUGAGUCAAGAGGAUUUGGCUAUGAAUCCCCUCAUGAUUUUCCUCCUAGAUGAGGUCUAUUGGUAGCACCUCCACAGACCUGGUCUCAGCUCCUAGUGUACAGCUCUCCCACCUUCCAACAGCUGGAUGAGAUGCCUUUUGGAGCUGGCAAAACCUGUUUAAGGUACAGGAGAGAAAAAGAACUUGCUAUUAACCGUAAUCAGAAACUACGGGAAGAACAGAUGCCCACUAGCAUGCAAUAGCCACUCUUGAAAUCAUUCUGAAGUUCAUUUUCUUCACCUCUUUGACCCUCACCUUUUCCUCAUUCCAAGUGGUUGGACCCUGUCCUUUGGUCUUAAGGAACUGCUUUUAAUCACUUACUUUAUGCUCCCCAAAUUGAUCCAACAACUCUUCCACAUUUCUGUUUUCUCAGCCCUGUGGAUGUACUUAUGUGGAACCCAACCACUGACAGCGUCUCUUUCCCUCCUUGAAAACAAGUCUCUCAAUCCCGGCUUGUCUUCCCACAUUGUCCUUUUGUGGGAUAGUGUACUGGAGACCAGUUUCUCAUUAAGAUGUUUUCAUUUAGAGUAGAAGGCUUGAUCUUAUCCUUACUUCCCUGAUUUGGACAAUUUUUGAGACAGGAUCUCACUCUGUUGCCCAGGCCAGAGUGCAGUGGCAUGAUCAUAGCUCACUGCAGCCUCAAACUCCUAGGCUCAAGCAAUCUUCCCACCACAGCCUCCCGAGUAGCAAGGACUACAGGUGCACACCACCACACCUGGCUAAUUUUUAAAUUUUUUGUAGAGAUUGGGUCUUGCCAUGUUGCCCAAGCUGAUCUCAACUUGUGGUCUCAAGGAUCCUCAGCCUCCCAGAGUGCUGGGAUUACAGGCAUGAGCCACCAUGGCUGGCAGUCUGGACAAUCUUUAAAGCAUUCCCCACCUAUAUCAACACCACAUGCUAGAAUAUUCUCAGCCACAAGGGAAAAGCGUAAACCAUGACUAUGCACGACACACUGAAUUUGCAGCAACUAAUUUACAACCAAUAAUGAAGUAUCAAUGUUUGCAGUGAUUCCUCUGUGAAUCCAAAUAGAUCCAAGGAUAACCCUGUAAUAAUUCCACAAUCGCUGGUAGACGUUCCUGUAAUUUUUGAGAGGGAGGGGAAGUGUUGGAAUCACAGGCACUAUGACUGGAUGGGCCAUGACUUACUUACAGUCUGUGUUAUUUAUGCCAUAGCCCUAGUCAAACCACAGCUACUGAUAGGCUCUAUGAGGUUAUGACGAUUACAUAUUAUUGUAGUGAUUUAAUCUGGGUAUAUCUGAUAUGUGAACUGAGGCUAAAAAGGUUCACAGCCACUGGCCCAAAUCAUUAAGUGCCAAUCAAUCACAUAUUUCUUUGGGUGGUAACACCUGUUUGAUCUUCAAAGAACCAAGAAGGCCAAGAUUUUAUGUAAUGCCAAGUAUAGUGGAGAGCUAUUACCUAAUAUAUUAGACAGACAUUUAUUCAGGCCAGGGCACACUAUAUUGUCUAGGCAUUUUAUAUAUAUAUAUGUGUGUGUGUGUGUGUGUGUGUGUGUGUAUAUACGUAUAUAUGUAUAUAUAUAUUUAUAUAUAUUUAUAUAUUUAUAUUUAUAUAUAUUUAUAUAUUUAUAUAUUUUAUUUUCUUGUAUUAGGUUGUGAUAAUCCAGCUAGAGAAGUUUCAUAAAACUCAAAUCUAAAAUCUUUCUUUUGCUGAAGAAAAUAUUUUCUGACUAGUUGAUUCUGCCACACACGUCACAGCUAGCCUGCUCCCACAUCCAAAACAUAUUCUAAGAAGGAAGCAGCUUAGCUGUCAGAAUUUUUUUUAAUGCCAGGUUAUCAUUGCUAAGCAAUUCCCUAUCCUUACAAGGACAGGCAGUGAAGAGGAGGAUUCAGUCCAAAGACAACUCCCAAUUUGUAGGUUGUUAAAUACCUGUAGGUUUCUUUUAAUCAUAAAGAAGGAAAAUGAAAGACUUGAGGAUCACCUACAUAGAGCGAAAACAGAAAAAAACCCCGAAUCCCAUUGCUUUGGCACUAGUAUCUUUGGCUGAUCUGAGAUUACAUGAGACACCAAAAAUAAAAACACUGAACUUUGGUUUGAUGAAAUAGAUAAUUCAGGUUGUCAUUUAUAAUUUUAGAGUUUGCUUCACAUAUACAAUGCUGUGUUACGAAACAAUGAACACUUUUAUAAAAAAUUUAUUUCACACUUUUAUACAAAUAUCCACAGGUAAUUUCUAAUCAUGAAAUAAUUUUACAAUGCUAGUUAGUACAAAAAUGUAUCAAAUGCAAACAGACCAGUGACUUGACUUGAGAUGACAUUUUUAACAACCAUAAAUCUAAACACCAUAACAUCUUUGUUUCUUUGUUGAACCACCCUCCCAACACCCUUUUCAGGACAUUCAUCUUUUUUUUAGUAACACAGGUCUAAAAACACUGUCAAAGUAUCAGCUCCUUAGCAAUCUAGCAAUCUAAACACAUUAGGGACACAAGUUCCCCAAGCAAGAAACUGAGACUUUAAACACUGUUAUAACCUGUUUUACAGAAAUUUUUGUAAACAAAAUAUAUUUUGUGACUAAGAAUUCCAAAGUACAACCAAAACAACGUCCUUAGUAUCUUAAGGUUUAAGAUUUCCGAAAAGAAAAAAGCCCCCCCAAAACAACAGUGGCACUACAAACUGUGUUCUAUUCUUUCAAAACACAGACACUGCUUAUACUAUAUCCAAAACAAAUUAGCACCUGUUUGCUGUUGCUCCCCAUAUAACUUAACAUUGUGAAGCAUGGUAAUUAAAAAAAAUCAGCUUUCAUAUCUAUUCAGUCUCUGUUGAAUGUAUAGAGUAAUAAUUCCACCCCCUGCCAUUUUUACAAUUAAAACACAAUUUAAAGUUCUUGUUAAAUUAGCCCCAAAGUAAUUUUUGGGAAUACAGAUAGGGGAGGAAACAAAACAAAAAAUAGAACAUCGACUCACUGAUUAACUGUUUUGGUAGCAGAUUCAGUAGUCUUAUACUGGAUCAGUUUGGAUCCACCAUAGGCAUUCACCAUUUCUUUCAAGUCCUGAAUAUACAGUAUUUGCAGCAGUGAGUAAACCGCACUAGAGUUCAGUGAAUAAACCCAUUUUCUCCAAGAAUUCCUGAAUGUUACAGUAUGAAAUCCAGAAACAUUAUGCAGGCUUCUAAAGUAAAAAAUAUCCAAUGCCUGAAAUAAACAUCUUUACAGUUAUAAUUCUAUUUCUUAAACCUUUUGGGUUGUGGGGUGGAGGCUGUCAUGAAGGAGAGGUUAUAGUUUAUAGAUAAGUUAUUAAAACAACUCUCUCUGGUACAUUUAUAAAGAUUUUCUUUUUGCAGUAAAUAAUUUAGGUCAAAGUGAUGACCUCCCAUGCUCUAAUUCUGAUUGAUUAAACCAACCUGAAGGGUAAACUGGAGACUCUUUGGCCUGUUAGUCAAUAACAAAAUGGUUUGUAAAGAAAAGAAAAAAUAAAUACCAUAUACAAAUAAGUAUAACUAGCAUUCAAGUCUGUUGCACCUGUGUGUUUUAGUGAAAGGGAGAAUGAAACUUGUAUGCAUUUGACGUGAGCAGGUAUUCACACAGCUAGGAAACAGGAAAAGACGGUAGGAUGGCAACAUCACCUUCUAUUGCACAUUUAGUUUAAGACAGCACUUUCCGUUGAAACACAACUACCCCAAUGGCAUAGUCUUGUGAUGUGGGACAGCUAACGUGAUGGACGUCUGCGCAGCAGGCCCGAGGUUAGGACGGCCACUCUGUUAGUGCAGGUGAGUGUAGGUGCCUCCUCAGCUACACUAUCUGGAGGAUGUCACCUGAGUGCAACUGGGCAGGCCCUUCCCCAACACAUGAUGUAAGUCAGCCACGCCAAAAAUAAAGGCAACCCAGAAAGUUAAAUUACGGCAGUUAAAGAAAAAUCCAUUCCAACAGUUUUAAAUUUGGCUGUGCAAAACAGGAGCCUUAGGCUACGUAACAAUAUCCACAGUUAAAACUGUAGGUUCGUACUGUGUGUAGUCACUCUGAAAUCAGUCCUCAGGGAUUGAGCAGGCUUUUAAAUCCAAAUUGAAUUUCUGAGUUGGAAAAAGCAGUUUGGGUACUGUGAAGCUUUUUUUUUUUAGGCCCCCGCUAUGAGUAGCUUUCAUUUUCGUUCCACUUUGUGAUCCACUGUUUUUUUUCAAGGUUAUCAAUAUACUUUUCAUCUUUGAUCUCUCGCUCUUCUUUCCGGAUCCUUACAGCAUGGUAUCGGGGAACACUGUCAUCGUACCUAGAGCGUUUAAAGAAUCCACACUAGAGAAGAGGGAAAGAGAAAGAGAAACAAAUUAAUCUCACAAAGAAGCAAAUACACUAAAUGGGAAUGUCUAAGCUUUCUGUUCAGCUAUGUCUACCUCUGGACUAAGGGGAAAAAGACAUGGUUUUCUUUUAAGAAAGAACCAAGAGGCUGAAAUGAAAGAAGAGCCAGUGGGGAUCAACGGAAGAGAACAGCUGUAAAACUGGAAGAAAAGUCCAUUUUCAUCUUCUCUUUACAUUUUAUAACAAAUGUAGGCUACCUCUUUACUAACAAUUUAAGAGUUUAUGAAAACAGUGCUUCCAUAUUUAAAAAUAAUCACAAUAUGAUAUGUAAAAUAUCUGAUUAUCAGAUUAGAUUAAGAAUAAUUUUUAAAUGGCAUAAACCAAAGAUUAUUUCAUGCCCCUUUCCCACUAAUAAAAUGCAAAUCAUGUCACAAGUAUUUUACAAAUUACUAUUUGAAUAUGCCAGUGUUCCAACAGGUCAACUUUAUAAUCUUUUUCUCUCCUCUGAGGCUCUAGUACACAUAUCACUUCUCUCAUUAGCCAGGAGGUCAUUUAUGUUGCCUGGAUUUGCUAUUGUGCUUCUAAUUAAGCUAUUUCAUUAAUCACAUAGUAACUGUUUCCUGCAAUAAAAAUCAUGUGCUGCAUAGGACUUCAGAAGUGCAUCACUACACUGAAUUUCAGAGCACUCCCUAAUUUCUCUUCUUUUGCAAAAAUACAUUUACCUUUAAACUGUUAAUGUGUGUGUUUAUAUAUAUAUAUAAAAUUCAUUUAAAUAGUCAAUCUGAUCCAAAGUAUAUUUUUACUGAGAAUAUAUCUGAAAAAAUUUGAAUUGAGAUUAAAUUUUUAAAUGAAAUAUAUUUACUUUUUUUAAAAAAAGGUGUUUUCAACUUUAAAAUGCAGUUUAGAAGAAUGAGGAUAUUGAUAGAACUGUUAAUGUGUUUAUUGUGUGACGUCAAUAGUAACAGGACAUUUAUGUUGAAUGAUGUUAUGUUAUAAAAAUGCCAUGGAGCAAGAUAAAAUUAUAUGUAUAGUUAUCACUAAAUCAAUAGGCAAAAUGGACCAAGAUGUUUUGUUCCAGGUCAUUUCUACAUGGAUUCAUUUAUUAUUCUGUGCAAAAAAAAAGAAAAAAAAGCCAAAGUACCUAUCUAUUACAAAAUAUGACUGCUGUCUACCCCAUUUAAACAAAGAGGGAAAUUAAGGGUAAUAUGUAAAGCUGAAUGGCAAUGUUGUGAUUCACUGUGAUAGUGCCAUGGAAAGGAUUACAGGAGUAAUUCUGUCCUCUCAUGCCCACGUAAAUGGUGAAAGGGAUCACUAGCAAUUCCUAUUUCCAUGUAUUUCCAAAUAAGAGAAACUUGAAUUUAAAAUCAACUGAGAUCCAAGGUUGGAUAAAAUCUCUGGAUACAUGAAAUAUGGUCAAACUCCAUCACAACAUAUUGCAAUAAAAACUGUUCAGGGUAUUUUUUGUACUAGAAUUUUGUAGAUGGAAGGUAACUUUGGUAAGGGAUCAUCUUCUGAAGUUGGCCAUAAAAGCCCAUCAUGCUGAUAAUCAGUUUGUUGUAAUGGUCUUUGACCUGUAGGAGACAUGCAGGAAAUGGAAGUUGCAUGCUUAGCUAGCAUAAAACGAUUCCUGAGCAACAGUAAAAAGCAUUCCAAGCCUUCCCCAUCACUUUAUAGCAAAGAGAACAAAAAGAUGACAGUGAGGAAGCCUCACCAAGAGAAACACAACAUUUCCAACAUGCAACAGGUUAAUUAGGCGGUCGACACAGCUUCUAUCUGUGGAAAAUUCCAAAAUGGACAAGAAAUCUAGAAUGAUUUCUUAUGCAUCUUUGAAUUCCCUAGUGGAAUGCUACAUACCGAAUUAAUAACACAUUGCAAACUGGGCUACUAUGGAGGGCUAAAAGUCUCUUUUUGUGUGUACAAAUAUUGCAAAUUUUCUUCAUUGCUGUGGUAGAUAUUUAACAAGAACAUAAAAUAACUCACCUGCAACGAAAGACUGUGCAUUAAAAAAAACAAAAACUGAGCUUUCAAGUGAAAUAAAAUAAAACAAAUCCAAGCAAGGCAAGCCAGUGUGGACAUUUGGAAACAUCUGUUAAUGGGACACACAUAGCAAGCUGUUGUUCUUAAAGUUAGCCACCACAACCAUAGCGGGUCCCACAGCUAGCAAUUAAAAAACAUUGAUCAAUUACCAAUUACAGAAGUAGAUCAAUACUAUGCAUCAGAAGUAAGCCUCUCUUUAUCAGAUGGCUGAGCAUGGAUCUCAGCCUUGUGAUAUGUGGCAUCAUAAUGAUCUUUCUUAUUUCUCUUGAAGAAACCACACUACAAGGAAGCAAGGUAUUUAGUCAAUUUUACAGUUUUGUGUAUAAGAGCCAAACAACAGAACAUCUCAAAUUUUAAUCUGCCUUCUACUAGUGGCUUGUUUACAAACAGACCACUUUCAGUCAACCAACAAUGAACAGCCACUGCAUUGUUUCAUUGUCAUAUUCAAUACACCCUUCACCAUACAUCUCUGGUCAAAUAUUUAUAUGGAUGACACUAGUCAGCUCAUUGAUUUUUCUCUUUGUAACAGAAAUCUUGUGGACAAAAAUCAUUCUAAUAGGGAAAACGUAUAUACAUUGCUGAUUGUAGCUUUGGGUAGUUUCUUCCUGCAGGAGAAUAUGAACUCCAAAAGAGGCAAAAGAUUGACUUCGGCAGUUUAUUGAGACAAAGGUUAGAAAAUAAAUUCUCUAAAUAAAAGCACAAAUCCAAAUAAAAUAUAGAUAUACUAUGGGUAUUUUUCUGCCUUUUACAGUAAAUUUUAUGGAACAAAUGCCAUUUACUUGAGGCCUUUGGAUCUGUGGGGUGAAUCACAAUACAAAUUCGAAUACACCAUCAUGAAAGAAUGAUUGCUGUCAUUUUCCCAAACUCUGAGCACCAUAAAACCCUUAAAUGGUAGGGACCCAAUGCUCCUCAGGUUAGGUCACUCUAAAUGAGUAUAAAAGUAUAAUUCCACUUUCUACUAUAAUUUCCUUCGUUCAGUGAUAGAGAACUUUUCCUAUUUACUUUUAUCUAGUUCAUAAGGCCAUGGAACUGUCUUUUAUAAAAUUUAACCUGGUCAAAUAAAAUCUCCUGAAAAACUCUGAUUCCUAGUCCAGCAACUCAUGAAGGUAAAAGCCUAGAUUCACUUUGUACAAUAUAUGGGAGCUGCUGGCUCCGUGAGGCUAUUCAGAUUGAAAUUAAUUUAAAUUACAUUUAAAACUCUGUGCCUCAAGUGAACCAGCCAUAUUCCACGUGCCUAACCGCCACACAUGACUAAUGGCUACCAUACUGGAUGCUGCAGCUCCAGAACAUUUCCAUCAGUAUAGAGUUUUGUUGGGCAGCUUUCAAUAAUAUGUGCUAGUAAAUAGGGUGGGAAGAAGAAUAAACCAGGAGCCAAGAGGCCUGGUCCUGCCUCCAACUUGGCAACAUUCUUUCCUUUUUUUGAGACAGAGUCUCACUCUGUUGCCCAGGCUGGAGUGCAGUGGCACGAUCUUGGCUCACUGCAAGCUCCACCUCCCAGGUUCACACCAUUCUCCUGCCUCAGCCUCCCUAGUAGCUGGGACUACAGGUGCCCGCCACCAUGCCCAGCUAAUUUUUUGUAUAUUUAGUAGACGCGGGGUUUCACCGUGUUAGCCAGGAUGGUCUCCAUCUCCUGACGUCGUGAUCCACCUGCCACAAAGUGCUGUAAUCCACCAGCCUCCCAAAGUGCUGGGAUUACAGGCAGGAGCCACCGCGCCCAGCCAGCAACAUUCUUAAUAUCCCUGGUCAUGAGCAUCUUUGUUAGCAAAAUGAAGGUGAUUUAGACCAGCCCAAGGGACUUUUUUUUUUUUCACCUGCAAACAAAAUCCUGUACAGAAUCCUGAUAUUUAAAAUGGAUACAAUCUGAACUACUGUGGUUGAAGUAGGGAUCUUCAUCCUGCCUAGUUUAGCUUUGCCCUCUACAUGGAUAUACAAAAUCCAAUUUAAGGGCCAUUGAACUGUAGUUCUGACCCUAAAAUCCUAUGACUUUAACAUAUUAAAUAAUUCAGUUGAAUAAAAGUAUAAAGUAAUAAAAAUGCUUCUCAUGUGGGGUUGUAUAAGUCGUAUUUUAGAGUCCCCUUGACAGCCUGGACACUUCAGAGCUUCAAAAAAACAAAAACAAAACAAAAACUCCCAAAAUAAUGAAAUCAUCUAAUAAUCCAAUCAACUUAUUUAACAGACGAGGCAAACAGAGGCCCCAGGGAGAUGGAAUGAUUUGACCAAGAUUAUAUACAGCUUAGGUUUCUAACUUUAAAUCCACUGCUGUCUCACCCUCAUUAAAGGCUGCCAAUGCUCUGAAAAAGACCAUCCUUAUGACCUCUUCCAGAAAACACAACAUCAUCCUCAAAUAUCAAACCCCAACUUUAGUUUUUGAUAUCAAAAUAAUUUUCAAGGCCGGGUGCAAUGGCUCACAUCUGUAAUUACAACAAUUUGGAAGGCCAAGGCAGGAGGAUUGCUUGAGCCCAGGAGUUGAAGACCAGUCUGGGCAACACAGCAAGGCCUCACCUUUAUGAAAAAAAAUUUAAAAACUAGCUAGAUGUGGUGGCACGUAGUCCCAGCUACUCAGGAGGCCGAGGUGGGAGGAUUGCUUGAGCCCAGGAGGUCAAGGCUGCAGUGAGCCAUGAUCACACCACUGCAAUCCAGCCUGGGUGACAGAGCGAGAGACCCAGUCUCAAAAAAAAUUUUUUUUUCUUCAAGGCAUCUCCUUGAAAAAAUGUUUUAUAUUGACUGGCUGUGUGUGCCAGAGGAACCUACUGCCCGAGGUAAACAUUAGAGGUAAAACUGGCUAAAACUCCAUACCAGGAGGAGUUUUGUCAUGAGCUUCAAUCCCAUGUCUAGAAGACAUCAGAAAAUUAUCUCAAAUUUGCAAAAGUCAGUCAAAAAAAAUAAAGCAAAAACAGAUGCUCAAUAUUUGCAAGUAAGACUAUCUUGAACCCUUAUGUAUUAUAUUUUUGGAUCCAAUGAAAAGAAAAGGAUAGUCUGAUCCUAGGGGGUUGAUGGUUCAUACAGAACCCUCCAGACCGGACAUGUUUGAGAAUCCAAAAUUUUUGUCCUUUAAAAUGAGUAAUGCACUGCAUACCUAAUGCUACUAUAAUCAAAAUGUUAGUAUUUCUGCAGUGAAAUUAAUCAUAAAGGAUAAAGACUUCGAAGUAGCCUCUCUUCACAUCACGUCAGGUUUUAUUGCCAAAUAAGUCAUUAUAUAUACUUCAAGGUUUCAGAGCUUUUUGGAAUGGCAGAUAAGGGACUGUAAGCCUCUAUCACUCACUGGGAAUAAUCUAAAAUUUUUAGGUUGUAAUCUUUGGGCAAUAAGAGUUUGUAUCCAUCUCAUACGCAGUUUUUCAUAAUGUAGACUCUUUACUGGUAGAAUCAGGGGAAGAUAUUACAUUUUAUUUACAGUCAAAGGGCCAAAUUCUAAUGAGGAACAUCAUAUUGAACCUAGACCUUCCUUAUGUUUGAUACACGCUAUAGUGACCCCCUUGAGAUAGAGUUAUUCAUUCAUGUCAUACUCUUCUAUUCCAAAUCUAGCUGUAAGCAUAACCAACACCAAUGGCUGCUAUGAACAUUCUUCACAGAAACUGAAAUUAGCAGGGAUACACAUUCAGAUUAUUACUACACCCUAACAAUUUGGCUUAGAUCCAGACUUAUAUCUUAGGUGAAGAAAAUGCUAAAGUAAUAAAAUCUAAAUUUGUUAUUUGCUAAACAUGCUAAAUUAUGUGUGAGAGACAAAUGAAGAAACUUAUUGUGUACAAAUAAUAUACUUUAAAUACAAAAUAUUCGGUAAAUAUACAGGUGUUCAUGGUAAAAUUUUCCUCAAAUUUGCUAUGUCAAAAGAGUUUCAUAAUGUUAGAAAAAAGGAAGCAAUGAAAAAGAAAACGUACUAUCAGUGCUGAUUCCCAUUUUUUAAAACAUGAAAUAAAGUUUGUUAUGAAAUUCAAAUGCCAGAUAUGACUUACCUUCCAUAGUAUAAACACUAAUAAAGCAAGCAUCAAGAUCCCAGCGAGAAUAGCCACUAGGAUGAUCCACCAAGGUACUCCCGAAUACUGAGCUACAGUCUUUGAGGGAAACACAGUCACUCGAACCUACAGGGCAGAAAAGAAAGCAGCAUUACUACAUACAGCGGCAAGAGUUCACACCAGGAGUUUAUGGUUCUAAUUCUGCUUUUGAAUAUAUUUUGGACAAUGCAGCCUGUGAAUGGAUGAGAUGACUUUCUGAUGCAAGAUCCUUUCUCUUAACAGAAUAUUGCUUCAAGAGACAUUCCUUGAAGAUCUUUCCCCAGAAUCUUGAAAAUGCUGGGUUGUAUUCUGACAAAGUGGUUACUUCUUUGUUAAUGUAUCUUAAAAAAAAUUUGUUAUCAACACAAGUAAACUGUAUAAUGAACCCUUAAGUAUUCAUCAUCCUGUUCCAGCAAUUAUCAAUAUACAGCCAGUCUGUGUAUCUAAACAAAUUGCUCUCAAAAAGAUACCCAGUUAAAUAGAUCUAACAGCCAGUCUGUUCUAUCUAUCUAACCUGGUAUCUUUUUGAGAACAAUCAUACUUUUUUUUUUUUUUUUUUGGAGACAGGGUCUCACUCUGUUGCCCAGGUUGGAGUGCAAGUGGUGUGACCAUGGGUCACUGCAGCCUCAACCUCCCAGGCUCAAGUGAUCCUCCCACCUCAGCUGCCUCCCAAGUAGCUGGGACUACAGGCGCAUGCCACCACUCACAGCUAAUUUUUUUAAAAAUUUUUUUGUUGAGACAGGGUCUAUGUUGUUCACAAAGUGCUGGCUUCAGGUGAUCCUCCUGCUUUGACCUCCCAAAGUGUGGGUAUCAUAAGUAUGAGCCACCUCACCUGGCCUAUACUUUCUUUUAAUUAAUAUUCAGCAAUGGAAAGAAAAGGGCCAGUUUAGGCAAAAGUAGCCAACAUUCCUCAUUCAGACUUUAAAGAUGUUGUGAAAUACAAAAAUAGGGAUAGGGCUGCAUGACUGAUGGACACCAUUUUACCUUUUUCUUAGGAUAUCACACUAAAGACCCUCAUAAACAAUAACAUUUCCUGAAAUGGCUUGGUGCCAUCUUCUACAAAAAGGUAUAUGAACAAACUAGACCCUGGACCCACUCAGAGGCAGCUUAGCGCUUAAGUUGCUCCUGCUGCUGAGAAGCUUAAACUCUAAACAUAGGAUAGUUUGCAAAUAUCAAUUAAAUAGAAAUGGUGUUUACUCAGAAACCUAAAAAGCUGCUUCUGGCAAUUCCAACAACUCAGUUACAUGGGUUUAGAAUGCAAAUGAACUUUUGUGAUACCAGGAACUAUUUUUCAAAGCAUGCUAAAGACCUGGUGAUUAUUGUGAACAUGAUUUUGUAAACUACACUGAUUAGAGAUCCACUGGUUUGAAGUUUCUGAUAUUUCUGAGUUAAGAGAAUGUAAAGUAAAGGGAAACAAAACUCAGGGGGAGCAUUUAACUUCUGAGAAGUGUUUUCAGUCAAAUAUUCUAUGUCCAUAUUGAACCCUGGAUGCUGCUAUGUCUACACUGUGCUUCAAUACUUCUAUGCGGUGGUGUUUUUCUUUAAAAAAAUCUCUCAUCAAAGUACUUCCCUUUCCACUUCUAGGAAACAGUUUCUCAACCUCACCUGACUUACAAAAAAUACUUAAAAGCAGCAAAACUGCUUUUCUUUAAACAUUCAAUAGACAGCAAUCACAUCUUGAGAUUUAGCCAAUUAUACUGAUGGUAACAGGCAGGCAUAAAACACCUUUAUCAGCCACCAUGUUUCCUGUUAUGCUCUAAAUGAGGUUUUCUACAAGCUCUGAGCCCCAAGGUGGCCUCGUGGCUCACUUCCCCUCUCCUUCCCUCCCCUGACAGGGAAGAGAUUACUGCGUUCAGCACAGGGACAUCUACAAAGAAGGGAAGAAGAAACAGGGACAGACCAGUGAAGCAAUAGAAUAGUUACGUGGUUGUCAUUCUCCAGCUGGGAUUGAGAACAAGGGGAAGCUGGCCAUAGAGCCAGGUGACCAAAGAUGGAAGACAAAGGGUGGGCUGUGAUUCCCAGAGCUCCAAGCCUUGUUCUGUCUUGUCACACCAACUGUUACUGAUGAACAGGUGAGUAGAAACUACUGUAGAGCUUUACAACUCCAAAAAUAAUUUCUUACCUUUGGUUUCAUUACAAUGUAGUUAUUUCCAUGGGGAUGACGCACACCUGUGAAACUCAUCCACCAUGUGCCCAUAAGGGGAAGAGGGAUAUAAGCUCUGUUGAUGCAUUAAAUUCGAUUACCAGUGAGCAGUGCUGAGACUACAUUAGCUUGUCAACUGCCAAAAUACCUUCUCUAAAUUACCCUGUAAUGUACCACCCACUGUUCUCAUUGAACUUCAUUCAGUACAGGAAGUCACCCAAUGAAGGGAUUUUCGUAUCUUUUACAAAAUUAUCUAUUAAGGACAUCAUCCACUCUUGGUGUUUAUCAUAUAACAGGCCAUCUUAUAAAAGGAUCCGUAUCUUAAGUUGUUCUCUGAAUUUUAAGUUGUUCUCUGAAUUUAGAGCCAAAAGGGAAAAUCUUAUUCCCCUGAAGAAUUAUGCAUUUUUUUGGUCAUUUUAAAAAAAAUUUUGACAGCCAGGAAGCUUGGAUACUCUCUACUUGCUUCCUUAGGGAUAAAUGGGGACAAUAUAAAUACAACCAAUAAACAAUCCCCCUCAAUUUCCCUGGCUAAUUUGACAGUGUUUUCCUGGUUCUGUCUCCUACAGCAUGACAUUCUUAACAGUUGACACUGUAUCUUACCCAACUUUGCAUCUCUAACAUUUAGCACAGGGAAGGCAUACAUGUGUCUUUCAUGGGUGUUUAUUAACAAGAUGGAUUUAAUUUAACUGAUGCUAAAAUAUAGCAUGGCUUACCUGGCUCAAUCAUGUGACUUCUGCUCUCCCUGACUUCAUUAUAAUAGUAUCCUAAUUUAGAAGUGUUUUUUAUUGUUUGUUUUGAGACAGGGCCUCACUCUGUUGUCCUGGCUGGAGUGUAGUGGCACACUCUUGGCUCACUGCAGCCUCGACUUCCUGAGCUGAGGUGAUCCUCUCAGCUCAGCCUCCCAGGUAGCUGGGAAUACAGGCAUGUGCCACCCCACCUGGCUAAUUUCUGUAUUUUUUUGUAGAGAUGGGGUUUUGCUAUGUUACCCAGGCUGGUCUCUAACUCCUGGGCUCAAGCAAUCCGCCUGCCUUGGCCUCCCAAAGUUUAACUGUGUUUUAUUAAAAGAUGAACACAAAACUCUUGAAAUUCGUGGGGUUAUAAAGAAACAAAAAAGUUUUUUUGCUUUUUUAAGCCAAAUUAAGCUUAGAUCUUCAAGCCCAGAAAAACUACAGCUCAAACUACUCAAGAAAUGUGCAGAUAUGACAUCUGAGCUAUUGUAUGUCAGAAAUCACAGAAAACAGAAAAGGUGUCAGAAGACUAGAGGUUAAGAAAAUGUCUCAAUUUUCAAAAGACAUGGGUUCUAGAUAUGAGACCAGUAACCCAUUCACAAAUCUACCAAUUUGUGAAGACAUCAAUUCCCACUGGGAGGCAUGAGUUCUCCAAGCUCUAAGAACAUAAAAUGCCCAAGAGAACCUCACUUUCAUUUGUGACCCAGUCAUCAGACUGGACACCAGGGCCCCCAGAGUUCCAUCAUCUUCCAGAAGAAGACAGCACUUGAAGAGGAGACAUCAGACCCAAGGUCUGGUCUCAGCUCUACUUGCUGGUCGGGUGACCCUGACGGGGAGAUACCUUUCCUUGGAUUCAGUUUUCUUAUCUCAAUUUGAGAUUUGGGGACUUUAAGGGGACCAAGUGCCACAGAGUCAAAGAACAGAAGCCCUGAAGUCAGACAAUUACAGGUUUCAAUUGAGGGUCUCAAAUUAUAUCCCCUCUCUGAGUCUGCUUCCUUGUUUGUAAAAUGAGUACAAUGUUUACCCUUGGCAUUCUUCUGAAGUUUGAAUGAUAGAGUAUAAAGUAUCUAGUAAGCUGCAGACAUUUUAUUAAGGCUUCAUUAAUGUUAGUCCCUUCCCUCUAAAGUGUUCUCUGUCUAGCUCUGAAAUCUCAGUGAUUUUCAGAGUUGCUGAUUUACAGUUAUAGAAAGCUAUACCUGCUGCCUUUAUAGAUGCAGAGAAAGGAUCCUUAGGGAAGGUGUGGUUUAUUUGAAAGUCCCUUAUGAUGCCUGUUGAUAUGUCCUGGAGAGACCGGGACAGUGCUGGUUGAUACCACUUAUCGCAGCAGCUUGCCCAGUACAGCAUUUGUCUCAGGCAAAUGUAUCCUGGGGCUGGGUGCAGUGGCUCACACCUAUAAUCCCAGCAUUUUGGGAGGCUGAGGCAGGCGGAUUGCUUGAGUCCAGGAGUUAAAGACCAGCCUGGGCAACAUGGUGAGACUCUGGCUAUACAAAAAAAACUGAAAAAUUAGCUGGGCGUGGUGGCAUGCCUGUGGUCCCAGCUACUCAGGAGGUGAGACAGGAGGAUUGCUUGAGCCCAGGCAUUCAAGGCUGCAGUGAGCUGUGUUUGCGCCACUGCACUCCAGCCUGGGUAACAGAGCAAGACUCCAUCUCAAAAAACUAAAUAAAAACAAAAAUGUAUUCUUGCUUGGAUAAUAAAUCGUAAGGACUGCUAUAUUUCAGAAAACAGAAUGAUUAGGGAGGCUCCCUGAAUUUUCAGCUAGCUAAAUGACUGAAGCCAGAACAUUUCCAUAAGUAGACUGGCAGAUUAACUUAAGAACAGUAAUUCACAGUAUUUCUUUCUCCAGUCUCUUUUGCAAAACAUUCCCAUUCAUUAUUCCCACCAUGACAUGCAGUCAUUCUGCCUCGAGAUCUUUAUACAAGUCCCUGUGGGUUCUAGACUCCCACAGGGAACCCCUCACUAUUGGUUCACUACAAGGUUCUACACCUAGUCCUAUUCAACAUAUUUGUCAUUACCUGGAUGAAGACAUAGAGAACAUGCUUCUCAGUUUUUAAAACUUUCAGGGAUAGAAAGUUGAGAAAGCAAAUGAUGAAGCAAGAUUCAGAAUUACUUUGCAAACUGAAACAAUGGACCCAAAGCAAAUCACAUAAAAUGUAAGGAUACACUUAAAGGCAUACAUUUAGAUUUUUACAAAUAGCUCAAGGACAGGAUACUGGAAACACAGCUUGACAACAAAUUCUGAUGAAAACACCUGGAAGUUUCAGUAGAACACUAACACAAAAAUAGCAGCUGCUAGAAAUUCAAACAUGCUGCUCAGCAAUGGUUUGAAAAAGCAAAUUUUAGGCAGGUCUGACAGAAGUGUGGUGCCGAGAUGCUGAGAGGUAAAGGCCCCAGGGUAAGUGGGACCAAGCAGACCCCACCUCAGCUGCUCUGUCCACGUGGGAAUCAAAUUGCCCAGGAAGGGAGAGGCCAGGAGCCAGUUCAGCUGUGCCCAAUGUGACGCAUAACUCAAGAGCUGGGUGCAUAAGCUCUGAGAAGAAUAAGAAACAUCCAAGGAGGCAUGACCAUUUCCUUCAAUUAUUUGAGAGGCUGCUACAUGGCCAAGAGAGAGAACUUAUUUUAGACUUGUUUGAGGGGCAUAACCAGGGACUUACAAGGUUCAGUUCAGGAGUCAGCUAUGAAGAGAUCUUUUUUAAUAAUUACAGCUGGCCAAGGGAUGGGCCAUCACUGGGGCAUUACACCAAUGGCUGCAGCAUUAGAGAUGGUAGAAGACACAGGUUUCUAGAGGGCUGUGAGGUGCACCCAUUCUCUGAAUUGAGCCAGUAGUUCUCAAACCUACCAUGGGCACUGCUGAACUGGAUGACCCUAGAUUUACUUCUUUUUUUCAAUGAUUCUAUUAAAAUACAGCUUGCAGUGCCAGUACCUUAAGACAGUUUUCUCCGUAAUGGGGCUAUGAGGGAAAUGAGCACCAAAGCACAUGACUUCAGGACAUGAGUGUGGGGUACAGGGAAAAGAGACAUGUUCUGAACCUGAAUGAAGCUGGGGAACCUCUCACCUGAGUGCCUGCAUUUGGCAGCCUGAUAUUUUCGGCAGCAGCAGUCACAUCAAUGAAGGCUCGCAUGAGAAUGUCCAAGUAGUUCAGUUUGGAAUAUUCCUGUUUGGAGACAGUGAAUGCAUUAGGGAAGUGAAAAGUGUCCUAGGCAAAGGCAAAUUACUUCCAUGGGACAGCCUCAAGCCAAGGUCAUACCUCUAGAAAUGUGCUGUUCCAUAACCUCGAGCGCAAAAUAAGAGACGCCUUGCUGUCCAGCCCCCGCAGCGGGCAUCUGAUGUUCACACAGUUCACGUUCACGCUACAGUUCUAGAGAGAAAAAGAAGAAUGGUCAUCAAAAGACAUUGUUCUGAAGAAAUCCUUCCCCUCAUCCUCUCAAAUAUUCACAGCUCUUGAAAAAUACUUACAAGAGUCUGGUAUUUUCUUUCAGCAAAUAAAGAAAAUUUUCUGUUAUCAUCUAUCUGUUUUUCAGUAAUUUCCCGUUUCUUUCUUGAGUUGUGAGACUCCUGAAAAAAAUUAUAUCCAAAAUAGUUCCAAUUUAUGUAAUUCUUUGUCAUUACCAUACAAGCCUCUUGAGCAUAUCCUCCCAAACAGUGCCAGAUUCACAUAAUCAACAAUAUUUGCCUCUCUCCUGCCAAAGGCACAGAAGUAAGUGUAAAACCAGCAAGUAUUAUCACUCUAAAUUCAAGUUUAUUGAUUUACUCAUAGGACUAAGUAAUUCAUUCCCACUCUGACCUUAAAACUCAGAGAAAGAGAAAUAUGCUUUCUUUGUUCCUCUGUAUCCCCACCAAACUGUGGGCAUACUGAGAUCAGAGAUCAAAUCUUAUUCCUGUAUCCCUAGCCUCCAGCUCUGUUCCUAAAACAUGGUAGUCAGCACAUCUUGAAGGAAUAAGUGACACUGAAGAACAGAGAAAGAAGCAAAAAGACCCAUUAUAUAGCUCAUUCAGAGCAGAGCAAUGAAAACUAAGCCAUACAAGAACUUUUAAAAUUGCAUUUUCCUUAUAGCAAAGAUUAGUAAUAACCGAUUAUCUUGAUUUUUAACAUUGAUGAGUAGAAGAUCAUGCUAUAAGCCACCAACUCUGAUCACUGAUCAUACCCAGUCACCUUAGAAUUUAAAAUAAAAGAAAUAAACAUGCAAACCUUCAUCAAACUGGAACACAAAUGAUAGGCCAGUUAUCUAAGCAUGGAGCAGUAUAGAGAGAGGGGUUAACAGUACAGGCUUUGACAUCAGGCAGAGCAGGGCUUGUAUGUGGAAUCUGUCUCUUAACGCCUGAGUGACUGAGAGAGUUACUUGCUCUCUGAAUCUUAAUGUCCUCAUCUGUGAAAUGGUGAGGAUAAUGAAACGCCCUCAUAGGACCAUCCAGAGAAUGAAAUGAGAAAAUGAAAACAAAAUGCUUAGCAUAGUUCCUGAGACACAAUGAGUACACAAUAAAUAAUUACUAUUUUAAAAAUAAGCAUAAAAAGCUUUCAAGGUUACUUGCUGAGAUGCCAUUAUCUUUUCCAAUGAGUUUGGUUCUACUUGGAGUGAACACUGGCUGGCCCCUGGAUAACAGCAGCUACUAUUACCCCAGGAGCAUCCCCCAGUUCUCCUUAUUAUGUAACAUACUGGGUCAUGAUGAAACAUCAGAAAAUACCAUUUGCCUCAGCAAGCACUGAAUGACUCUGCCUUAUGUACUAUAAUGGUCAUUAACCAGCAAAAAUGCCUCAGCCUCCCUCAGUUACCCAACUAGAAAAGAGAAAUUGUGACAACCAAAGAGAAAGUCAACCUGCCAGAAUAUGCCACUUUCCUAAGAACAGUAAUGAUUUUCCCCUAACAAGUUAGUUUCUCUAAUUUGCAUUUAUGGAGACAUUAGAUAAAUCUACCGACAUACCGUUAGGUUCAGGGAGUUUAUCUCCUUUUGUGGCUCACAAGUUACCUUUUCCAAUCCUUUGGAUUCUACUUUCACCAAAUAAAGCAACCAUUUCCCAUUGCUAAUUUCUUUUGGCCACUGAAUGUUCAAGGUUGCUGUGCCGAGGUUUGUAAGAGGUUUACCUAAGUUUAUUACCUGUUAGAAAAUAAUACAUAUUAUCUCAGUCUAAUCUUCUCAAUGUAAAUUUAAGUAGCAGCUCCUUUUACCAAGAGAAAGAAGCUAAAAUAUCUAACGUAAUCCUAUAAUAAAAGCACAGGCUCCAAAAAUGGACUAUAGAUAGGGCAUUCAAAAUAAAGACUUGUGCCUAAAGAUUUUUGUAAAUAAAAACAAAAAGGUCAAAGGACAACUGAUAGCUAACUCGUUCUAGGAACAACUGCUGUAUGCAACAGAAUCAGCAGUGUAGAUAUACCAUGUUCUCAACAUACGCCCAGGGAAAAUCAUGUGUGAAUUUGUGAACUGCCCUGUAACCACCCUGCUUGGCCAAUGACAAGUCCUGGGCCAAGGCAGUGUACCAACAACCUGCUUCUGGAAAACCCCAUCCACUGCAAAAAUGAAGCUGCCUCUGUCCCAGAGGAGAUUCUGCAAAACCAUUAUUAGGACAGCCAUGAAUCUGAGAGUCCAAGCUGGGAACAGAGUGACGUCCUGCGGCAGAAGCCAAACACAGGAGGUAAGAGCCCUCUUGGUGUCGAGACUGUUCCAGAACCCAAAGACUUCUUUUCCAGCUGCACCUGCAUAGAGAUCAUAACCACCACCACCACCUGCCCCAGCUGUGUCUAUAAUGCUAAGAGACACACAGAGGAGAAUUCAGCCUCUUCAUUCUGCCGGAGUCAGGUGGGCCCAUGCUUGCCAUUUGAGGCUUUCACCACAGUGGUCACUAUGCCUUCAGGAAUGUGAUUUCAGCCACACAGACCUAAACCCAUGUGUGAGUUACGAACAGACUCUGUACCCUAUGUUUAUGUUUAUUCAACAGGACAGAGAGUCACUGUGAUUGCCUACUUUGAAAUGGUUCAGAGCCAGUCACUGCCUUUCCUACAGGCAUAUACCAAAUCUACAUUCACCACAAAAACUGGGCUUGUGAAAGGUAGGCAUACAUUAAUAUUCUUUCAACCACAAGCAGUGAGAAAGAUGACCUUAUAAAGGAGGAAGGAAUAAAUCAUAACGCAUUCUAAACUGAACUGGAUUCUGAACAGUGACAAUUGUUCUCCAUCCUGGAGGAUAAAAUUUUUACUAUAAGCCAGUAUGUUCUUUAAAAGCUGGCAAACUAAUUUUUAACUCAUGAUUUACUUACAAUGCUUAUUAAUAUUGCUGAUUUAUUAAAAUGACAUACUCAAGACCAUACCUAGUAUAUGUCAGCUUUUGGUAUAAUGAAAAGACCAACUGCUCCAACUUACCCUGAAUUCAUACUCUAUUAAACUUCCCACUUCAUCUUCAGAUUUCAUAGCUUGCUCGCCAACAACUGUACCUCCAAAAUACACCUGGGAAGGUUUAGCAACUCUGUCAAAUUAAAAAACACCAGUUUUAAUGAGGAUUGUAAAUGGUUCUUUCAAACAUUGAUUUGUUAUGCUAAACACAAACACUUACCCCGAGACCGAUAAAAGCAGUUCAAUAACCACUUUUGCUUUAGCUGUAAUUGGAGCCAAAUUAUCUUGAUUGCUUGUUCUGAAAAUGAAAAGGAAACAAUAGGGUUGUAUUUUACCAGUCAGUUUUCUCACUACAAUUAGACUUCUUUUAUGAGGUAGAUCAGGGCCAAUUCAUUGACUGCCCAUAUUUUCAUGAAAUAAUUCUGAAUGGAGAGGUUGAUGUAACUCUUACGUUUCUAACUUCAGAUUAAUAUCCAGAUCUGGGGUGUCAAAGGUGACUUCAGUUGUACUUAAAACCAAAUAAAAAGUGACCUAAAAAAACAUAAAUAGCUGUUAACACAGGCCAUGCAUACAGACACUGCAAUGGUAUUUAAAACAGUAAAAUACAGUAUAUGAAGGCAUCACCUACAUUUGAAUUUCUUUUAAAAGGAUUUCCGAGCUCACAGUCAGCUUGCGAGCCAUUCUGGUUGGCAACACAACUCAACUGUUUCUCCUGUAAAAGAAACACACGCUAGGUCACAAUCCACUCAUUUGCCACACAGUGUUGAUUUUUUUCCCCUCUCAGCUGGUCUCUAACAAUACUUACAGGGAAAGCCCUCAGUUCUCUAUAUGCAGAAUAGGUUAAAGUGUCUGGAAACGUUGCAAUCAGUUUAGCCUCAUGGGCGUCAUCGCCAUCUUUUGUGGGAUUCCUUGGGUUGGAAGGGCUGUUUGUCACUGUUAUUUCUAAAGCAAUAUCCUUCUGAUCUUUUAGAACUAGUUCUGGUACACCUUUUUGACUAUUAAAAAUAAGAAAACAAGAACAAAAAGGCAAAGUCCUCAAUACGUUUCCAGUAAACUUUCUUAACACAAAGCCACCAUGAAGCCAGAAUCAUUUUUGCUAGUGCUACACAACGAUUCUUACAUUGGUAAAUAAGAAAAUUUGUCUUGAUUUCCUUCUCGGGUGCAAAAUUUAUAUUCUAGUUUAAGGUUGCUGUUACAUACAUUGUCGUCUCCACAUCCCUCUUUUAAGAAGUGAACCUGUAGGAAAACGAAAACUAUUGUCAAUUUACACCAUUCAGGACUCAGGAAGGCAUCGAUGUAGGUGACUGGCUAUUCCACACAGUUCAUUUCCCUGUGUGACAAUUACCAAUGCAGAAUUCAAGCUUUAAAUGUACUUUGCCACACAUCAAAUUUCCAUUCUGUCCUUUAGUAAAAUUGUGUUUGAAGAACACUUUGACCAGGGCAUGGAGGCAGUGUGGUAUAGAAGAGUGUGACCCAGCAGCCACACAGAUUUGGGUUUGAAACGCAGCUCUACCCCUUACUUAGCUAGCAAGUCACUUAACCUUUCAGAGUCCAAGUUUCAUCAUAGGUAACGUGGAGAUACCACCAUUCUAACUUUAUAGGGCUACUAUAAGAAGUAUCAAUAAUAAUGAUGAUACCAACGAUUAUAAUACUCGAUUUACAUAUCUUAACUCAUUUAAUCCUCACAACAGGCCUCUAAAAAGAUACUAUUAUUAUGAUCUCCAUUGUAGAGAUGACGAAACAGAGAGCUUAAGGUCAGGUAAGCAAACAGCAUACUAGCACCAUGCCAAUGGGUUCUUGAUAAUCACACCGAUAAAUAGAAAAUCAUCUCUAGCUAUGGAGCUGGGAAUGUACACAAGUAAUAUUAACAUGAUAAUAAUAAAAGUACAUAAAAGUAUACAGAAAUAUAAGGAACUAUAUUUGGUGACAAAAAUGAUUGACAAUAUGCAGAUGUAAGCAUCAGCUCCUGAGACAGUGAGGACUCACUUCUGCAAAGCUGCCUCAGUAAGGCACCAGUACCAGCAGCCCCAUAGUGGACAGACACUCAUCAUCAAUUAGUUGUUUUUUUUUUUUUUUUUUUUUGGAGAUAGAGUCUUACUCUUUUUGCCCAGGCUGGAGUGCAGUGGUGCCAUCUCGGCUCACUGCAACUCCACCUGCCGGGUUUAAGGCAUUCUCCUGCCUCAGCCUCCUGAGUAGCUGUGAUUAUAGGCAUGCUCCAUCAUACCCGCUAACUUUUGUAUUUUCACUAGAGACGGGGUUUCACCAUGUUGGCCAGGCUGGUCUCAAACUCCUAACCUCAAGUGACCUGCCCGCCUCGGCCUCCCGAAGUUCUGGGAUUACAGGCAUGAGCCACCACACCCGUUCAUCAUCAAUUAGAUUUUGAAAGCAAGAACAUAAUGCCAAAUCAAGCUGUCAUAGCUGCCCGGGCUAACCUUGCACCUUAACCAUCCUAAACCCCUAGCAAACAGACCCCACCUCAUAUGAGGUAUCCCACAGGCCAUCUAAUACACAUUUUUCUUCCAAAGAUGACUUAGGCUAUAUUAGGCACUAAAUGACUACUGUAUGCUAAUAAUACUUUUUUGCUUUGCUGAAUUUUGAUAUUCCUUGAUUUUAAUGUUCUGACUAGCAACACACUGCUUUCUACAUUUCAGUAUUCUCAAUGGUAAGUAAAACACAAUGUAUUUUUCUUUCUAUGUACAGCUAAAGGAGAAACAGUGUUAGAAUAUAAGCUCUACCAUUUAUAGUCUCGAUAGGUUAUAAUGGCCAAAAAUGAAGAAGGAAAAUACGCUCUGGCCCCAAAUUGUAUUUCAUGUUUUUAUGUUUAUUGCUAAUUUGGGAAACAAGUCUUCUCUAACUUUGCGUACAUUAAAAACAUAUUAACACAAAAGAAUGGCCUUUAAAGCAAAUCACUAGUUCUAUUCCCUUCAAAGACAUUUGAUUUAGCAUCAUAAAUGGCAAAAAAACUUUGGCAAAAUGAAAGUCAGAGAGACUUACAUCAAUAUGAGCUGUCUUGGGUUCAUCUGAAUUCAGAAUUGGAAGAACUUCUGGAAGUGAAUUCACUCGCCUACGAGAGCUUGGCUCUUGGAUCUCCACUGAGGCAGUUAUGGGAAUGGGACGCAGUUUAUCUCUGAUAUUAUCCUGCAUGAAAAGCAUGCAGUCAGAGUUAAGUGGGGUGUACAUGCUAUUGGGGAAUUCCAAAACAAUGAUUUUGUAUUGAUUAAGAGGUUGCCAGAAUAAAUUUCAGAAAUCUGUAUAUCACCAUAUAACCUUUUUCUGUCCUCUUCAUAAAACAGAUGUGACCAUCUGCAGCCCUCACCUGUAGCCACAGGGUUUCCUCCAUGCACACUUUCUGUUUCUGCCUCUUCAGAGUUAGUUCUUGAGUAUAUUUGGGCUCAGAACCUUGGUUUCGAAACUGAACUCUUGAGGAUAGCCCAGAUUUUCUUCUUUCUUUUUCAGCUUCAAGUGUGCCCACAAUUGCUAGAUAAAAUUAAAAUCAUAUUAACGUAAGUGCAUUCAUGCACAAUCCAGCCACAAGCAUGUUGAACUCCUUUUAAGAUUUUAAUUCCUUGUAGAAAACAUUGCCAUUGUUUCUCUUCAUAUUUCCUGGUAAUAUGCAUUUGCACAAUUGUGAUGGUUCAAAUCAAGCUGUCUUUUCCUUCCUUUUGCUGUUAACAAUGUUUCAAAGUUAAAUUUUCAUUGUGCCACCUGGGGGAGCUCAAGAAUAAGUUAAAACCUUUCAGCAGCAGCAGUUAUUAAGAAUCAGUUUCUGGCUGAAGUUCAUGAACCCACAGAAUACUAACGAUAAGCAGAGGAACCCAACACUCCCCCGAGCACCUAAACUGAUUUUCUCCCUUUAAACCAGUCAAUGCUUAUUCAAGUGGCCUCGUGCCUUUGCUAUCUGGGAAAGAUCUCUAGAACAGCAGCAUCUCCUGAGGGCCUGUGAGGAUGCAGAACCUCAGGCCCAGUCACACCUACGGAAGCAGAAUCUGCUUUAUUAAUAACAGCAUCACCAGAUGAUUCUUAUACGUAUUAAAGUUUUAAGAAGCACUGAUAAAGGAUAGUUGUCUAAACAGAGGAAUAAUAUAUUUUAGAGAUGGAGAAGUCUUUCGACAGUAGGAUGAGACCUUUACCUUAACAAAUAAAAAAGAGGAUGGGCACAGUGAAUUCUGCCUGGCAUCCCAGCACUCUGGGAGGCCAAGGUGGGUGGAUCACCCGAAAUCAGGAGUUUGAGACCAGCCUGACCAACAUGGUGAAAUCCUGUCUCUACUAAAAAUACAAAAAUUAGCUGGGCUUGGUGGCGCAUGCCUGUAAUCCCAGCUACUCGGGAGGCUGAGGCAGGAGAAUCGCUUGAACCCAGGAGGCAGAGGUUACAGUGAGCUGAAUUCAUGCCAUUGCACUCCAGCCUGGGCAACAAGAGCAAAACUUUCUCAAAAAAAUAAUAAUAAAGAUAAAAAAGAAUUACAAGGUAAAUUAUAUAUUUUUGAGUGGAUGGAGGGCCUGUCGGUCAGCAUAAUAUAGCUCCCACAACCAAACUGCCUACCUUGCACUGGGCUAGAAGGCACAGCCUGUUCUUGAUAACCUACACUAAUGGAACCUGGAGGGAAGCUAGGAUGUGGAUGAUCAGAAUCUCAUUUUUUUACUUCAGAACGCAUUCUUUGUUGGUUCAUUAGAUGUGGCUGCUAACUUUGUUUUUCAUGGGCCAAUACUUAAAUUACUUACAUUCAUUAAGCAGUCACUAACCAUCAAAAGGGAAAGCAAACCAAAGUGUGCAGAGGGCUGGAGAAGGCAAUCUCCAGGACAAAAAUCUGCUACAGAAAACACAGAAAAUGAAUAACUCACAUUCUAAUAUUCACUUUAGAGUUGGAAGAGACCUUUUCUGGGGAGGCUUGGGGUCAUACUGAGAGGGACAGAAGCAGCACCAGCUUCUGAGUCUCUAUCACAAACACAAAAGGCGAUUGCUUUCUACAGGGUCUUAGAUGCCCAGGUCUCACUUGCCUCCUAACCACCGCAGGAGUCACUCCUUCCCUCAGCCAGCUGUCUUUCCCUUCUUUUCCCUUCCACCUCCCAGCAGUGUUGGCCUGCUUGGCUAAGCCCUCCCUUCCCCUUCAGAUUUCAGCUUGGACCUCACCUCCUCCAGGAAGCCUGUCCUGGCCUCUCUUCGCGAUCCUAGAGUAUUCCAUCUCUCCAGUCUCUACAUUUAAGCCCACUACGCUGUGAUUUCCUGAUUGUCUCCCACAGUGGGGCAAAGCCGAGGACAAGGAUCACAUCAGUCUUAUUCCCCACCACAGUCCCCAGCAACUAGCACAACACCUGAUAGACAUAUGAUUUAUGGAACAGAUGAACAGAAGUGGCAGUAACUGGUUCCCCACUUGCACACACAUGCGCACACACACGAUGUGACAUUCUUAUGCUGAAUGUGAGCUAUUCAGAACAAAAUUUAGAAACACUGACAGUUUCAAUAGUAAUUUUUGUGUCCAUCUGGAGAAUUCUUAAAUGUCACAGCUGCCAAAUGGAAUGCUCCCCCAUUUUAGGCCUCUGCAGCCUUGACAUCAUCCAUUUAUAAGUGACCUGCUAGCUUCACAAUGAACCAGAUAAAGGCUCACACGCUGAGUGCCCCUCACAGCAAAAGUGCCCCUCACAGCAAAAGUAUGGGAGGUGUGGGUGCAGGAAAACCGUUUAUCUGCCAAAUUCACUCUAACCUUCCCUAACCCUCCAGACAGUCCACAUCAUCUUAAAAUCUUUGCAGGCCACCUUUGCUAACUGCUUGAGGGGCAAGCCAAGUAGAACACUCAUUACGGCUCAAUUAUAGAUAUCUAUAUGUAUGGAACACCACAUCUGAGGACUGCUGAGCUAAAAUAGCCCAGUCAAACAAUAAGCUCACAUUCUUGGCUACUGGGAGAAGAUUUUAGAUGUAUUAACUUAUGUAGCUUUGUAGAAGUUCUGUCUUAGUUCAUUUAGAAUUUACUGUGGAAGUAAAAGCAAUGAAAGCAAAUGUUCUUUGAAUGUCUUCAAAGGAAAGUUCCACCCAUAAAAGGCCAUCCAUAAACACUUGGUUAAUGGAGUAGCUACAUAACAUAAAAGUAAUACACAUGGCAUCAAAUGCUGUGCUACAGCUAGGAGAAAGUCUGUAUUUUAUAUAGGUGAUUAAUUUGGGGGAAGUCAAGGAGUGCUCUGAUGAUAUUUCACAUCUACAGUCAAACUGAGAGUGGUUUGAAAAAAUGGCCAUCAGAACAGAAUAAAAAUGUUUCCCCUUUUUCUCUGGCUGCCUAGUCAAAGAAUCACUGUUUUCUCCUUGUCUCUCUAAUUCAUUCCAAACACUGGCAAAGGGCCCAUUAUCCAAGUGGGCUAGUGUAAGGUAUGGCAUUUGGGUAAAAAUAACACAAAUGAUACUGAAAGGAUGAUAGAUCCUGAAGAGUCACAGUAUACAUUUUCUUGUCAUUAAAAGCCACACAAAGAAUUGCUUUCUACACUCGACAAAAUGCCGGCUGCAUCAAAAAGCAAAGCAAAAGGCCACAGCUCCCCCUGUGCACGAAGUCAUAAUCCAUCCACUCUAAGAAUGCUUCGUGCAAGGUCUGCAGGUCCCAUGGAGAGACCACACAGCAGGAGACGACCCCACAGAAGGGGAGACGGAGAAACCACCUGCAGACAGCUCGAAAUCUGGAAAGAUGAAGGCUAACUGAGCUUAUGACACUGAGAAUCAGGUGAAGGGGGACUUAAAAAAAAUUAAAGACAGUACAUUUAUUUAAACUGUCCCUUUUCAUAAUUCACUGAACUUUAUCACAGGUCAGUAUCUUCAUUCUGUUGUCUUAGUGGAUACAUUCAUUAGUGUUAUAUAAAACUUCAUAUAAAGUUAAAGAAGAAUUAGAGUACAGCUAAGAACAGAGCUGUGACGUGUGAGAGGAUUCACCAUUGCAAACCCUAGUCCUUAUGUGGCUAUUUUUUCCUGUUUCAAGCAACAACUUUAGGUUAUUUGAAUUAGGUUAUAUUCUGGAAUAUUAUAAGGGACAUCUUUUUAAAUAAAGAAAACUACUACUUUAGAUAACAGGGAGAACACUUCAGAGGACUCAUUACCUCAUAGUAUCGUAAAGGCUGACAACCAUAUGAAAGGACAGAAUGACCUUGUUCUUCACAAAGUGUCCCUUGGUGGCAGAUACAGUACACUAGAAUCCCAAACUGCCAGGACCAUGGCCGGACCCGGGUUGAGAAUUUCCUCAUUCUUUUCACUUCCUCUUUGCAGAAAAGAUUUUCUUGGAAUUCCUAUGCCCCUGGCCUUGACUCUGGAGCCAGGGGUCAGGUGACUCACAGCUGAAGAAGUGUGGCUGCUAUUAAAACAUGCCAGAGGAGAGCUUACGACGGCCACUAUUGUUAAGAGUAUCAUUAACGGUGUCAAAAUUCUUGUCAAAAAUCCUGUGUUGCCCCAUAAAUAUAUACACCUACUAUGUAUCCACAAAAAUUUAAAAAAAUCUUACUUUGAAUUACAAAAAAAGGAAGCAGAACAGUAUCUAAUAAAUGACAAAGUGCUUUUCAUGUCUUCUCAGUUGAUCUCCAGCACAACUGUAUGCACUAAUGACUACUAGGCAUUGUUCUGAACGGACAGGAAAGCAAACUCAUAUGUUAAGGGACUUGCCCUGUGGGUCAGUCAGUAUCAAAGCUGAAACCAGGAGCAGAGACCAGGUCUCUGACCUCUCAGGGCCGGCUUGCAAAUUCCCUAGGGGCCUGCUCUUGGGAACACAGGGCGGGUGUUCCGGGAGGGAGGGGCGUGGGGAAGAGAAGGCAGCCUGGCAGUGACUCUGUGCUGUGCUCUGGCUCCUGCCGUUGCCCUUUCACAACCACCAGCCACCACCCACCACCUCACAACCACCAGCCACCACCCACCACCUCACAACCACAAAAUCAAUUUUCCACACUGCUUUUCAAAGACAGAAAUGGAGGAAAUGGUUGUGGUAGCAAAUAAGUACUUUUCCAAGCCAUUCUGUCCUAAACCAUCUGCUCUGGAAAACUCAAAUGGCGACCAAGUGGAGUUUUUUUCCUCCCUCACGGUGCUGUGCCCUCCUGAUUAAAAGGGAGACAAAACAUACACUUAAUUCUUUACACCAGAAUUGACAGACCCAUGUUGGCCACUGCAGUUUUAUUUUUCUGUGAUUUAUGCAGAACUUUCAACCUGGCAGACAGAAAGUAGACAUAUUUUAAAGGUACUAGGUACUUACAUAUUGAAGGAUUAUAACCAGCGGGGUUAGCAGUAUAUUCAAAACAGGAUUUAACCUGGAGGCUGAAUAAAAUCAAACACAUAUUUCUUAAAAGAUCCAUUAUUGCAGUGGAAAAAACCCAACAUGUUCCCUAGCUCUCCAAUCCCCCCAAUGCCCAUUGAUGAUCAACAUGUUAUAAAAACACUUGACAGACCCUCUUCCCUUUGCCCAGCACUCCUGUCAUCUUCCCUGUGGCUCCUCAGGACAAUAGAGUCAUCAUGAAGUGGAGGUGGGAAACUGAGGGGGAUCCCACCAAGACAGAGGGAUGCUCACCAUAUCCCACUAGGCGCCCCACACGCUGUUUUCUGGCGGAGGUCAAUUCUGUUAGGAGUUACUGUGAUGGUUUUCUGAAUAUUAAUCACAGGCCGGGAUCUGAAGACAAAAGGAGUGAAAAACAAGCUCAGCCUCUGUUACCUUGAAUGUGAGUCUAAUUCACAUACUAGAGAGCAUCCUUAGCUGCCCAGCACAGCUUAAAAACACAGGAAAAAAAAUACACGUGACGUUUUCCCCCAUUGCUGAAGAAAAUAACUGUUAAUAGAUAUAAAUGUAUACAAUGCAGAGCCUCAUUAUACAAUAUUUGUUUAAAAACGUACACACUUAUGAGUACAUGUGCAACAUGUGGGGGUUAAAGUAAAUAUUUUGUCUCCAUUCCCACCCGAACACCCAAGUAGCCUUGUAUGUUCUUCCAGACACGUCAGUUAAAAUUAUCUAAAAUUAAAUAUUAAAAUAUAUGUAUAAUUUCAACUAAAUGGGAACUUAAUUGCCAUUGUUCUGUAUGUGGCUUUUUCUCAUCCAUUUCAGAGGUCUUGUCCUGUAUAUACACAUAGAUCUAGUUCACUGUUUUUCACACCUGAUGGCGUUACACUGUAUCAGUGUAACAUCCUUUAUUUAACCAGUACCUAAUCGGUAGACAUUCACGUUGUUGAGCUUUCUGCUUUCACAAACAUCAUCUGUGCACACACUUGAGUUUAUCUGUGGGAUAAAUUCCCAGCAGCAGAAUUUUGGAGUCAAAGAAUAUGUGCAUUUUUAAUUACGAGUAGUCUUGCCAACAUACCCUCUGGAAGAAUUACACCAACAAACACCUAAUACCUGAGAUGCUCAUGAUCAGCGUGUCUACAGUAUGUGAAUUAAUACAGGCAAUCCUGAACUUGGGAGUCUCCAUUGUACAAACACUUGCCCUUCUCUUCAGCCUCCCUCGGAGUCUCCCACCCACAACCUUCAGUCUUUGCCUUCCUAUUGCCAGGAUUGACAACUUUUCUACCCCCACGAUAUCUCUGCAAGCAAAAACUUAAACUUUUAAACUUCUUCCCAUCUCUGCGCUGCCUACUGCAACCCCGCAAACACUUGAGAAGCUGGAAUCCAAUUCCACGCCCUACUCUGGUUCACCAUCUGAAAACAUCUUUUCGUAUGUUUUGGCUGCCCUGCUCCCAGCAGCCACAGGGGUCUCCACGGGUCUGUGGCCCAACUGCUGCCACAGGCACAAGAAAUGCAGGUAUGCGGUGGGUUGAGGGGUAUGAGUGGGUGAGGAGGCCCACCUCCAUUGCUCCCCACCAGAACUCAGAAUGGGGCCUGGGGUUUCAUUACCACGUGGAUUCAGUUAGGCUGACUCUGAUGGGCUUGUGGUAAACCCAGCCAUUCUGGAGAACAGUGUUUCUACAAGAAAAUGCAUUCCAAAUCCCAAACAGCUAGCUCGAACUUCUGGAAUCAAUCUGUUGGUAGGCUAGAGCACAAGUCCAUUCACAGUGAAGGUAGGGUCCAAUAAAGGGUCAAAUACUGCCCACAUUCCCUGUUUUUCCAUUUUCCUUUAUUGUUUACCAUUCUAUUUUUAUUUUACAUUUAGACAGCUGCUAGGUUCUAAGAUACUAACUAGAUACAUUCUUAAGUUUUGAGAGCAUAUUUAAAAGGCACAGUUGCCACAGAUAUAGUAUUUUACAUACUGUAGAAUUUUAACAGACAUUUCUGCCUAGAACAUAUUUUGUUUUUUAAACAUACAACACACAAUUUUGAGGGCAAAAUAUACAUGAAUUAUGAAAACUGUGUCUUUUAACAUAGAAAAUAAGUCUUAUUAGUUUGGCUGCCUCAUGUUUAAAAUUGGUGUUUAUUUACUAACUACCCUGAAGUGCUAGUACAAUUUAGUAGAAAAAAUGCACAGGAUUCAAGUCAGGAAGAUUUAGGUGCUACAUUCUGUCCUCUCAGGCUCCAGCCUUAAAAGCUCAAGCCAAGUCCUGGGCCUCAGUUUCCUCAUUUGUAAAAUAAGGGGAAGUUACUCCUCUUCUUAUCAAAGGGUUGUUGAAUUCUACUUUCACACUAUCUGCAAGUAAAGAGGGAACAAGUGUACAGGGUUGACAGUCAACCUACUUAUGAGGACAGGAAAGUAAGGAUAUUAAAAUAUCAGUUACACAUAGACAGGGGCAAACAUUUAACUGACUAAAGUUAAGUCAUCUAUUGUAUUGACAAGGAGAGAUAGCCCAAGAUUAAAUAAAAACCAGAUUAGACAGCAGAAGUUACAGUGUAGCCUUUUGAUGAUACCCUAAAAGUAGAGAAAUGCAC